RNAcentral lists this transfer RNA (73 nucleotides) under Loxodonta africana (African savanna elephant). It matches the Rfam family "tRNA". Rfam says of the family: Transfer RNA (tRNA) molecules are approximately 80 nucleotides in length. Their secondary structure includes four short double-helical elements and three loops (D, anti-codon, and T loops). The record is from Rfam by way of RNAcentral. Lineage: Eukaryota; Metazoa; Chordata; Mammalia; Proboscidea; Elephantidae.
CCCUGGGUAGUGUAAAUGGUUAAUGCGCUUGGCUGCUAACCAAAAGCUGGAGGUUCAAGUCCACCCAGAGGCA